RNAcentral lists this ribosomal RNA (250 nucleotides) under uncultured prokaryote. RNAcentral describes it as "partial 16S ribosomal RNA". It matches the Rfam family "Bacterial small subunit ribosomal RNA", at positions 524 to 774 of the family's 1533-position model. The record is from RNAcentral.
UACGUAGGUGGCGAGCGUUAUCCGGAUUUAUUGGGCGUAAAGCGUCCGCAGCCGGUUUGUUAAGUCCAGAAUUAAAGCCCGAAGCUCAACUUCGGUUCGUUCUGGAAACUGGCAAGCUUGAGUAUGGUAGAGGCAAGUGGAACUUCUAGUGUAGCGGUAAAAUGCGUAGAUAUUAGAAAGAACACCAGUGGCGAAGGCGACUUGCUGGGCCAUUACUGACGGUCAGGGACGAAAGCGUGGGGAGCAAAUA